RNAcentral lists this non-coding RNA (28 nucleotides) under Rattus norvegicus (Norway rat). The record is from RNAcentral. Lineage: Eukaryota; Metazoa; Chordata; Mammalia; Rodentia; Muridae.
UGUUGGUUGCCUUCAGAGUGCUCAUCAG